RNAcentral lists this transfer RNA (81 nucleotides) under Helicobacter ailurogastricus. RNAcentral describes it as "tRNA-Leu-TAG". It matches the Rfam family "tRNA". Rfam says of the family: Transfer RNA (tRNA) molecules are approximately 80 nucleotides in length. Their secondary structure includes four short double-helical elements and three loops (D, anti-codon, and T loops). Lineage: Bacteria; Pseudomonadati; Campylobacterota; Epsilonproteobacteria; Campylobacterales; Helicobacteraceae. The record is from RNAcentral.
GCGGAAGUGGCGAAAUGGCAGACGCACCAGACUUAGGAUCUGGCGCCGCAAGGCGUGGAGGUUCAAGUCCUCUCUUCCGCA